GGCACUUGUACUCGUUGCGGCGCAACGAUGGUGAAGGA
Non-coding RNA from Yokenella regensburgei ATCC 43003, 38 nucleotides. Lineage: Bacteria; Pseudomonadati; Pseudomonadota; Gammaproteobacteria; Enterobacterales; Enterobacteriaceae. The record is from Rfam.